RNAcentral lists this long non-coding RNA (327 nucleotides) under Carica papaya (papaya). RNAcentral describes it as "long non-coding RNA (CPAP_LNC006701)". The record is from RNAcentral. Lineage: Eukaryota; Viridiplantae; Streptophyta; Magnoliopsida; Brassicales; Caricaceae.
GAAAAGGAAAAUGAAAGAUUGUGUAGACUGAUAAUUGUAUUAUGGGGGUCAGCCUGAUUAGAUAUCCUGGGAGAUGGUGGACGGACCGGGUCCGUAGGGGACCCUACCGGGAUUGUGGUCUCUCAUACCGGACGGGGUAUGGAGAUCUUAUGUGUUUUGGCGCCCAUACCGGACGGGGUAUGGGGACGGCCCGUUUCACCCUCAUACGGACGGGGUAUUGAGGUUUACAGUUUUGGCGCCCAUACCGGACGGGGUAUGGGGACGGCCCGUUUCACCCUCAUACCGGACGGGGUAUUGAGGUUUAUGGUUUUAGCGCCCAUACCGGAC